This 2705-nucleotide long non-coding RNA is filed under the name Ursus thibetanus thibetanus. RNAcentral's name for it is "lncRNA (ENSUTTG00000009536.1)". The record is from RNAcentral. Lineage: Eukaryota; Metazoa; Chordata; Mammalia; Carnivora; Ursidae.
CCCCCACUCCAAGGGGACCAGGGGCGCUUCCGGUGCGUCACUUCCGCCUCGGGCCGCGGGGCGGGGCCCCGAAGGGGCGGAGCCUGCGCCGUGGUCCGCGGCGGGAUCAGCUAGGGGUGCGAGUUGUCCCAGUAGUGGUGCGACCCGGAGGUGUCCAUCCCGGACAGGCGACCUUUGGAGGCCCUCUGACCCGAGGCCGGCAGGGACCGGAGGGCGAGGGAGCCCUGUCCGUUAUAGUGCAGUCCGCCGGCGCGGUUUUCUUGGCUCGCCUUCUGACGCGGGCCGGGGAGAGUAGUGUUGCCUGGCGAGUGUGGACGCGACGUGUUUCAGAGCGUCGUCGUUUGUGGAGAAUCAGGUCUGGUUUGGAAUCUAAGGGUUGCAAAGUAGAUGCAGAAACUGCAGGAAAAGCUAAGCAAAACCCUGUUCCCGAAACGCUGUCCUACAACAUACAAAACAGUCUCAUCCCUAGGUCACCAGUGCAACUACUGAAAAUGAACCUACCAGCGACUGGAAUGCCUAGGUUUCCGGUCCAUGCCCACAGGAGGGGAGUUACCGUGACCUGUGCUAGAAGGGCUCCUGGUGACAGCAGCAUGCAUCAGAAGGCCAUUUCCAGAGCAUAGAACACAGUCAAGAAAACAUGGCGCUGGGCGUGCUUCCGCCAUGUUCUGUAAGCCUGCCAGACAGCCUCUUCUCAGCAGAGGCUACUUCUCCACGGACAUGCAGGGUCUUGGAUGGAGAGAGAUGCUACUGGCUUCACUUCCCCCUGGAUCCAUGUGUUCUUCCCAGCUCACGUCCUCUCUGACACUUGGGUCUUUUGAUGGCUUUAGUAUCGCCAAUGGAAGCUGUAGUCAAGGGCUAUUUCUGUUGACUGGCCCACGAGGCAGGUCCCACAUUCAGAAUUUGAGGAGUGGAUUCCUGUCUUAGCCCAUAGUGUUGAUUAAACCAGGAGUUUGGGAAGGAGUUCGGCUUCUCUGAAUUUUUCCCACGUUGACGAAUGUGUUAUUUGUGUUGGGAAAUCAACAUGACCUGCUUCCCAACAGCCUUGGCUGUUCUCUCUCUGCAGCUCCGGUAAGAGAGGAUAAGCCAGACAGAUGGAACAUUCUAGAGGCUACACAAACUCCUCCAACACACCUUGUGUGCCUGUCCACUGAUGUGCUAGGAAGAGCAGGCCUGGAUGCUCUUGGGAGCACGGCUUCCACUGUGUGUCUUUAGCUCCUGAUGAACCCCUAACCUUGAAUGACCUCUGGCUCCGCCAUGUUGUAGGCUUGUGUGUAUAUGUGAAUGUCUUCCCCAAGAAAAUGUUAGAAAUUGCAUGGUGGGGAUCCCCUCCCAGGCAGCAGGGAGGGAGCCCUCAGGGGGCACUGGCUCAUCCUGGAGGCCGGAAGGAGGCACGCUCAGGGGGCCGAAGUGUCUUCGGGGUUGUUAGCCGAUAUGUGGGUGAGGACCAGAUAGGGUGAGUCAUCUCAGGAAAUGGAAUACUGUGCGCACUCGUGUUAGGGUUGACUUUCUAGUAUUGAUCCAUGAGGAUUUAGCAAACUGUUUGCCUCUGCUCUUCUGGAAGAUAAACACGGAAAACCCCAUGUGAUCACAAGGAUGAGGUUAAGGGUCAUUGACCAAGGGGAAAUAGUGCCAGCCUGUCCUCUCCUUCGUGGCACGCCACCCUUGAGGUGCCAAGCCUGCAGGGGUCAGGAUGACGAGUAGAAAGAGCAGGAUUUGGAAGUGAUGAGGCCAGGGUUUCAGCGACAGCUCCGUCACUGACCGGGCUCAGAUGGCUGUCCCUUCUGGAGGGUUGGUGUUUACCUCUGCAGAAUGAAGUCUAACAAAGCUCGUGGAGUCACUGCAAGGAUUUAAUACAAUAAUGUGGUCAAAGUGCUCAGUAAACUGUAAGCGCUCAAGAAGUGAGAGCACUCAGUAUCUGACCUAAAAUGACACUUUGUUUUUCAAGGCAGCUAAGAGGAAAGACACUCGAUGAGACUCAGGGCUUCCUCUUCGGUUCCGUUGGCGUCUGGGGUCCUAGGUGUCGUUCCUCUUUCCACAUAAUUGAGGUGAAGUUAUAAAGCCGCAGUUUUGCUGGAAGCUCAGAAGAGACACACUGUUUGUUCUUGUUGUUUGUUUGCGGGGGAGGAUGAGAUAAGAUCUUGCGUCCUUCUGCCCAGGGAAGCGAGCUGUACGUAGGUUCUAGAAGAUUGUGAACGGUGAGGUGCCGGAAAUGUCAGACAGAAUCCCACGGGGCCGAGGCCCGGGAGGCGGUGUGACCGCUACAGGCAAAGCCACCAAUGGGGCCCAUGCGGGUGUGUGACAUUUUAGGAGCUGCUGGUGGCGUCUGGGGCUUGGUCCGCACCCCCCGCCCCUCUACAGAAACAGCAACUGGCAUUUUUGACUCCGCGGUUUAUGAUAAAGGAAGUGGGUAUAGGACGGAAAAUACGAAGUUCGUGAUGGUGUUGAUGACGGUGUUGAUGUUGGUGUAAAUGCUGGUUCAAGGACCUCACAUGUUACACAUUUCCACGCUUGCCCCUUCCUGCCGUGCCCCUCGGGUUUAAAACCUCUGCAUGCCCUUGGGCUCUUCCCUUGCUGUGCCCGUCACAUCCCAGAGGCGCUGUCCGCAGCCCAGGCAUGUCUGUGUCCCUUCCUCAUCCACUCCACCAGCCUGGGUUGGGUGCUCUUUGCCUGGAAAAUCAGCGUGGAUUUUCCCUGAAGCAGAGCCU